Long non-coding RNA from Myotis myotis, 1513 nucleotides. RefSeq lists it as uncharacterized. Lineage: Eukaryota; Metazoa; Chordata; Mammalia; Chiroptera; Vespertilionidae. The transcript is spliced from 3 exons. The record is from RefSeq and is a predicted model, not a curated record.
CACGCCCACGUUCCAGCGAGCUCGGCGCGCGGCCGGGCUGGCGACGUGCGGGGCCGAACGGGCCGGCGAGCCACUCCGAGCCUCGUGCUUCUGCGGGCUCCGGGGUCGCUGGGGCUUCGUGGCCGGGGCGGGGGUCCCUGCGGGGUUCCCCCGCUCCCUCAUCUCCCUGGCGCUUUCUCGCCGCGUCCGGCGCGGCCUGCAGCUCAGCCGGAGACCAGGAAAGAGUGAGUGUGGGCGGGAGCGGGAUGGGACCGGCCGGGAGCCAGAGCUGGAUUUUAGAAACGUCCCCUGGGUGUGUGGCUGGCGGACGGGGCCACGAAGCUUCCACUCCGUUGUCAUGGAACCGAGCAGUGACACUUCAACCUGUUGUACGAGUCAGACUUUUAAACUCUGGGCCCCCUGGAUCCAGACACGGUCAGCCCCGCAUCCUCACAGCAAUGACAGAGGAAUCUGUGCAGCGUCCCAACCUAGGAAAUGACACACACACACACCCCUGGUGCGGCCCAGGACAGGCUUGUGAACGCCUCCUGAGCUCAGAAGGUGGCCAGCACUUUCUGAAAUAAAGUGAAAACAGAACAGCUUCAAAUCACUCUUGCUGUCCUGUGAGUAUCAGUAAAUACAAAGACAAAGACCCCUGCUUUAAACUGCUUCAGGACCGAAAAGACUGUCCUGAAAUUGCUGGAGAGCCUUGUUUUGUGUGUAAAGAUCGAAGAGCCAGCCCUCCAGGUGCAGUGGAUAGAAGACAAGUGCAGAGCCUCCCUGUCCCUAGAGCCAGAAGAAAACACACUCGCAGCACAUGAUUCAGCUCCGCGGUGGUUUGCAUGUGGCUGACCACGCCUGCCAUCCGAGCGGCAUCACCCCCUUUCUGUAGAGCCUCUCAGCCCUUCACCAGCACUGGCAGUCCGUCAGGGGAAAGAGAACAUGGCACUUCGGCCCCUUCUACCCCUGCUGUUCUCCCCUUUGGUUGAACAGCCUUCAUUCAGACCAAGCAUGGAGUAAGAGACCAAGAUGUCUUUUGUGGUCUGGAGCCCAGUCCACAGUAUCUCCGAGGAGGUAUGCCUGUAUUUCUAUCUCUAGAUGAUGGGAUAAUAGGGAAGAGAAAGGAGUGCCCACACUACCCAGAAAGGAAUGCAAGUGCUGAGUCAUCACUCUUCGGUAGGAAAGACACUCCGGCCAGCGGUGGGAAGAAGAAAUUCAUUCAUUAGACUGGGCUCCAGGUAACGAGCAAGAGCGGGCGGGCAGAAAGCGCGUGCCGACGACACACAAUGCGCGGUGGGUGAAAGGCCCCGUGUUAUCCAACCCGAGGGUCUGGACAGAUGAAGAGGCAACGCCGCGAGGACAAAAGCAGCUGGACCCGGGGUUGUCAGGGCAGCGCAGGGAGCGCUCGAAGGAGACUUCGUUAUCCCAGCAGCGCAAGAUGCUCCCGCGGCGGGAGGCAUCCCUGCGCGCCCCGAAGUAGCGGGCGCCGGGCGAGCGUUUCCGACAGCGUGGGCGGGGGCACGUGGGGGCCGAG